UUAACUCGAAUUUGUAUGGAUUUGACGCGUUUGCCUACAUUUGUCGCUAGGGGCGCUGUUCCAACUGCAUACAAAUUUGAGUUA
Molecule: microRNA precursor, 84 nt
Filed under: Bombyx mori (domestic silkworm)
Lineage: Eukaryota; Metazoa; Arthropoda; Insecta; Lepidoptera; Bombycidae
Description: mir-2807 microRNA precursor family
Rfam family: mir-2807 microRNA precursor family
Source: Rfam by way of RNAcentral